GACGAACGCUGGCGGCGUGCUUAACACAUGCAAGUCGAACGAAGAGCGAUGGAAGCUUGCUUCUAUCAAUCUUAGUGGCGAACGGGUGAGUAACGCGUAAUCAACCUGCCCUUCAGAGGGGGACAACAGUUGGAAACGACUGCUAAUACCGCAUACGAUCUAACCUCGGCAUCGAGGAUGGAUGAAAGGUGGCCUCUAUUUAUAAGCUAUCACUGAAGGAGGGGAUUGCGUCUGAUUAGCUAGUUGGAGGGGUAACGGCCCACCAAGGCGAGGAUCAGUAGCCGGUCUGAGAGGAUGAACGGCCACAUUGGGACUGAGACACGGCCCAGACUCCUACGGGAGGCAGCAGUGGGGAAUCUUCCGCAAUGGACGAAAGUCUGACGGAGCAACGCCGCGUGAGUGAUGACGGCCUUCGGGUUGUAAAGCUCUGUUAAUCGGGACGAAAGGCCUUCUUGCGAAUAGUUAGAAGGAUUGACGGUACCGGAAUAGAAAGCCACGGCUAACUACGUG
This 510-nucleotide ribosomal RNA is filed under the name uncultured bacterium. RNAcentral's name for it is "partial 16S ribosomal RNA". It matches the Rfam family "Bacterial small subunit ribosomal RNA", at positions 28 to 507 of the family's 1533-position model. The record is from RNAcentral.